RNAcentral lists this ribosomal RNA (719 nucleotides) under uncultured Pseudomonas sp. Its description in RNAcentral is "bacterial SSU rRNA". It matches the Rfam family "Bacterial small subunit ribosomal RNA", at positions 74 to 789 of the family's 1533-position model. The record is from RNAcentral. Lineage: Bacteria; Pseudomonadati; Pseudomonadota; Gammaproteobacteria; Pseudomonadales; Pseudomonadaceae.
GGGAGCUUGCUCCUGGAUUCAGCGGCGGACGGGUGAGUAAUGCCUAGGAAUCUGCCUGGUAGUGGGGGAUAACGUCCGGAAACGGGCGCUAAUACCGCAUACGUCCUGAGGGAGAAAGUGGGGGAUCUUCGGACCUCACGCUAUCAGAUGAGCCUAGGUCGGAUUAGCUAGUUGGUGGGGUAAAGGCCUACCAAGGCGACGAUCCGUAACUGGUCUGAGAGGAUGAUCAGUCACACUGGAACUGAGACACGGUCCAGACUCCUACGGGAGGCAGCAGUGGGGAAUAUUGGACAAUGGGCGAAAGCCUGAUCCAGCCAUGCCGCGUGUGUGAAGAAGGUCUUCGGAUUGUAAAGCACUUUAAGUUGGGAGGAAGGGCAGUAAGUUAAUACCUUGCUGUUUUGACGUUACCAACAGAAUAAGCACCGGCUAACUUCGUGCCAGCAGCCGCGGUAAUACGAAGGGUGCAAGCGUUAAUCGGAAUUACUGGGCGUAAAGCGCGCGUAGGUGGUUCAGCAAGUUGGAUGUGAAAUCCCCGGGCUCAACCUGGGAACUGCAUCCAAAACUACUGAGCUAGAGUACGGUAGAGGGUGGUGGAAUUUCCUGUGUAGCGGUGAAAUGCGUAGAUAUAGGAAGGAACACCAGUGGCGAAGGCGACCACCUGGACUGAUACUGACACUGAGGUGCGAAAGCGUGGGGAGCAAACAGGAUUAGAUACCCUG